UUGGCGGCGUGCUUACACUGCAAGUCGAACGAGAACGGUUUCUUCGGAGACCUAGUAAAGUGGCGCACGGGUGAGUAACACGUAGAUAACCUGUCCAGGUGUUCGGGAUAGCCCUUCGAAAGGGGGAUUAAUACCGGAUACGUUAGUCUGUCAUAAGGCGGAUUAAGAAAGGUGGCCUCUAUUUAUAAGCUAUCGCAUUUGGAGGGGUCUGCGUACCAUUAGUUAGUUGGUGGGGUAAUGGCCUACCAAGACAUCGAUGGUUAGCGGGUCUGAGAGGAUGAUCCGUCACACUGGCACUGAAACACGGGCCAGACUCCUACGGGAGGCAGCAGUGAGGAAUAUUGCGCAAUGGGGGAAACCCUGACGCAGCGACGCCGCGUGGGUGAGGAAGGCUUUCGGGUCGUAAAGCCCUGUCAGAAGGGAAGAAGUGUGUAUAAGAUAAUACCUUAUACAUUUGACGGUACCUUCAAAGGAAGCACCGGCUAACUCCGUGCCAGCAGCCGCGGUAAUACGGAGGGUG
RNAcentral lists this ribosomal RNA (520 nucleotides) under uncultured bacterium. RNAcentral describes it as "bacterial SSU rRNA". It matches the Rfam family "Bacterial small subunit ribosomal RNA", at positions 37 to 534 of the family's 1533-position model. The record is from RNAcentral.